GCCCCUAUCGUCUAGCGGCCUAGGACAUCGCCCUCUCACGGCGGUAACAUCGGUUCAAAUCCGAUUAGGGGUACGA
RNAcentral lists this transfer RNA (76 nucleotides) under Schaalia radingae. RNAcentral describes it as "tRNA_Glu_CTC". It matches the Rfam family "tRNA". Rfam says of the family: Transfer RNA (tRNA) molecules are approximately 80 nucleotides in length. Their secondary structure includes four short double-helical elements and three loops (D, anti-codon, and T loops). Further hydrogen bonds mediate the characteristic L-shaped molecular structure. tRNAs have two regions of fundamental functional importance: the anti-codon, which is responsible for specific mRNA codon recognition, and the 3' end, to which the tRNAs corresponding amino acid is attached (by aminoacyl-tRNA synthetases). tRNAs cope with the degeneracy of the genetic code in two manners: having more than one tRNA (with a specific anti-codon) for a particular amino acid; and 'wobble' base-pairing, i.e. permitting non-standard base-pairing at the 3rd anti-codon position. RNAcentral also lists the same sequence under 1 other name. The record is from RNAcentral. Lineage: Bacteria; Bacillati; Actinomycetota; Actinomycetes; Actinomycetales; Actinomycetaceae.